GAUGAACGCUGGCGGCGUGCCUAAUACAUGCAAGUCGAGCGAAUGGAUUAAGAGCUUGCUCUUAUGAAGUUAGCGGCGGACGGGUGAGUAACACGUGGGUAACCCGCCCAUAAGACUGGGAUAACUCCGGGAAACCGGGGCUAAUACCGGAUAACAUUUUGAACCGCAUGGUUCGAAAUUGAAAGGCGGCUUCGGCUGUCACUUAUGGAUGGACCCGCGUCGCAUUAGCUAGUUGGUGAGGUAACGGCUCACCAAGGCAACGAUGCGUAGCCAACCUGAGAGGGUGAUCGGCCACACUGGGACUGAGACACGGCCCAGACUCCUACGGGAGGCAGCAGUAGGGAAUCUUCCGCAAUGGACGAAAGUCUGACGGAGCAACGCCGCGUGAGUGACGAAGGCUUUCGGGUCGUAAAACUCUGUUGUUAGGGAAGAACAAGUGCUAGUUGAAUAAGCUGGCACCUUGACGGUACCUAACCAGAAAGCCACGGCUAACUACGUGCCAGCAGCCGCGGUAA
RNAcentral lists this ribosomal RNA (515 nucleotides) under uncultured bacterium. RNAcentral describes it as "partial 16S ribosomal RNA". It matches the Rfam family "Bacterial small subunit ribosomal RNA", at positions 28 to 523 of the family's 1533-position model. The record is from RNAcentral.